Molecule: ribosomal RNA, 433 nt
Filed under: uncultured bacterium
Lineage: Bacteria
Description: partial 16S ribosomal RNA
Rfam family: Bacterial small subunit ribosomal RNA
Source: RNAcentral
AACGAACGCUGGCGGCAUGCCUAACACAUGCAAGUCGAACGAGACCUUCGGGUCUAGUGGCGCACGGGUGCGUAACGCGUGGGAACCUGCCCUUAGGUUCGGAAUAACUCCCCGAAAGGGGUGCUAAUACCGGAUAAUGUCUUCGGACCAAAGAUUUAUCGCCUUUGGAUGGGCCCGCGUUGGAUUAGCUAGUUGGUAGGGUAAAAGCCUACCAAGGCGACGAUCCAUAGCUGGUCUGUGAGGAUGAUCCGCCACACUGGGACUGAGACACGGCCCAGACUCCUACGGGAGGCAGCAGUGGGGAAUACUGGACAAUGGGCGAAAGCCUGAUCCAGCUCUGCCGCUUGAGUGAUGAAGGCCUUAGGGUUGUAAAGCUCUUUUACCCGGGAUGAUAAUGACAGUACCGGGAGAAUAAGCUCCGGCUAACUCCGUG